GACAGAGGGGGCAAGCGUUGCUCGGAAUUACUGGGCGUAAAGGGCGCGUAGGCGGGAUGGCAAGUCGGUCGUGAAAUCCCUCGGCUCAACCGAGGAACGUCGAUCGAUACUGCUGUUCUUGAGGAUUGCAGAGGAGACUGGAAUUCCCGGUGUAGCUGUGAAAUGUGUAGAGAUCGGGAGGAACACCGGUGGCGAAGGCGGGUCUCUGGGCAAUUCCUGACGCUGAGGCGCGAAAGCGUGGGGAGCAAACGGG
RNAcentral lists this ribosomal RNA (253 nucleotides) under uncultured bacterium. Its description in RNAcentral is "partial 16S ribosomal RNA". It matches the Rfam family "Bacterial small subunit ribosomal RNA", at positions 524 to 776 of the family's 1533-position model. The record is from RNAcentral.